RNAcentral lists this long non-coding RNA (299 nucleotides) under Mus spicilegus (steppe mouse). RNAcentral's name for it is "lncRNA (ENSMSIG00000028571.1)". The record is from RNAcentral. Lineage: Eukaryota; Metazoa; Chordata; Mammalia; Rodentia; Muridae.
AAAACACUUGUAUGGAAGCAGGUAGUAGGCUGGAUAAGAGUCAUGCUCAUAGUUUGUCAGCUUCUGGUUUAAAUCGACAGGACCUACAAGUGUGAAUUAAUAGAACUGUGGAUGAAGGCAUUCCUUGAAAGUGGUGGCCUCUGGAAAACUGUAAAGGUUUCCUUUCUGGCCACAGGCCUUUCUUUAUGUUCUCCAUAGUUAGGAAGACUAUUUCUCAGCUUAAAAAGCAAGACAACGUAUGUAACAGUGAAGCAUGAAAAAUGAAGCCUAUUCUGAAAACCCACAGUGCAUGAUUGUUA